CCCCAGCCCCCAGCCCUCAGCCCUGGCCCUGGCCCGACCUCCGGCAUUGCUCCGCGGCUGGAAGCGCAAUGCCGUUCUUACUGUGCUCCACUGUGCCAAUUAACAAGCCAUUCGGCGAUGGAUCCGCAAAGAUCUCCAGGGCAACGACCAGGUCCUGCUCUACCCGAUUCUCAGCUUUGGGGAUAGAAUUCCCAGAAACUUCUGUGUUCGGAGUUAGUUCCUUACAGUGGGUUCUUAGUCUGGCUGACUUCAAGAAUGAAGCCUCAGCCCUUCGUGUUUCAGGCUGAAGACAAUGAAAAUCCGUGCCAGACUUGGAUUGGAAGAAAGAACCAAGGCUUUGAGUCUCAUCGUCUCAUUUCUGUUUUGAUACAUGUUUUCUUAGUUUGUAAGCCAAGGAGAGGACUAUAGUGAGGAUUGUGGAGGGAAGUGGACCUUAUUGGUCUUUAAGCUCUCACAUCUUUAAAGACUGUUGGUGCUGAGAGAAAAAGUAUCCUCAUCUGGCAGAACUCCCAUAGGGUGUGCUCCCCUUGCUGUUCUGCUUUUGUUUUGCAGAAAGCUGCCUUUUCAAUGUACUCAUUAGGCUUUCACUGUUUUUUCCUUUUUUCCUUUUUCAUCUUUCACUGUUGAUAUCACAGGUGGCCAUAUCUUUACCAGUGCAGCUACCAAAUAAGAAAUCAUCUUUUCCACAUUCACUAGCUAGUGAUAGUUGUACUACCAUGAAAUCAGUUUCUUCUUUACUUUUAUUUAGGUUACAAGAUUUCUGGAAGGUGUUAAGAUCGAUUUUAAUUAGUCUUUGUGACUGGUUACUUCAUCCAGGGGAGUAAUUUCUCUUUGGAAUAUUAGCUCCACACCCCUGGAGAGUCUGUGCGGCUGCAUCUUCGUCUGGAGUUGGUUCUGGAGUUGGUUCCUUCCGGUGGGUUCCUGGUCUCUCUUACUUCAAGAAUGAAGCCACGGACCUUUGCAGUGAGUGUUACAGCUCUUAAAGGUGGCAUGGACCCAAAGAGUGAGCAGCAGCAGGAUUCAUUGUAAAGAGUGAAAGAACACAACUUCCACAGCGUGGAAGGGGACCUGAGGGGGU
Molecule: long non-coding RNA, 1078 nt
Organism: Mandrillus leucophaeus (drill)
Lineage: Eukaryota; Metazoa; Chordata; Mammalia; Primates; Cercopithecidae
Exons: 4
Source: RefSeq, a predicted model, not a curated record